This 440-nucleotide ribosomal RNA is filed under the name uncultured bacterium. Its description in RNAcentral is "partial 16S ribosomal RNA". It matches the Rfam family "Bacterial small subunit ribosomal RNA", at positions 338 to 795 of the family's 1533-position model. The record is from RNAcentral.
CCUACGGGUGGCAGCAGUGGGGAAUAUUGCACAAUGGGGGAAACCCUGAUGCAGCCACGCCGCGUGAGUGAAGAAUUAUCUCGGUACUUAAAACUCUAUCAGCAGGGAAGAAAAUGACGGUACCUGACUAAGAACCCCCGGCUAACUACGUGACAGCAGCCGCGGUAAUACGUAGGGCGCAAGCGUUAUCCGGAUUUACUGGGUGUAAAGGGGGCGUAGACGGGAGCACAAGUCUGGAGUGAAAUCCCGGGGCUUAACCCCGGAACUGCUUUGGAAACUGUGCGGCUGGAGGGCAGGAGGGGUAGGCGGAAUGCCUAGUGUAGCGGUGAAAUGCGUAGAUAUUAGGAGGAACACCGGUGGCGAAGGCGGCUUACUGGAGUGCAACUGACGUUGAGGCUCGAAAGCGUGGGGAGCAAACAGGAUUAGAUACCCGUGUAGUC